Molecule: ribosomal RNA, 1355 nt
Filed under: uncultured bacterium
Lineage: Bacteria
Description: bacterial SSU rRNA
Rfam family: Bacterial small subunit ribosomal RNA
Source: RNAcentral
AUUGAACGCUGGCGGCAGGCUUAACACAUGCAAGUCGAACGAUGACUCUCUAGCUUGCUAGAGAAGAUUAGUGGCGGACGGGUGAGUAACAUUUAGGAAUCUGCCUAGUAGUGGGGGAUAGCUCGGGGAAACUCGAAUUAAUACCGCAUACGACCUACGGGUGAAAGGGGGCGCAAGCUCUUGCUAUUAGAUGAGCCUAAAUCAGAUUAGCUAGUUGGUGGGGUAAAGGCCCACCAAGGCGACGAUCUGUAACUGGUCUGAGAGGAUGAUCAGUCACACCGGAACUGAGACACGGUCCGGGCUCCUACGGGAGGCAGCAGUGGGGAAUAUUGGACAAUGGGGGCAACCCUGAUCCAGCCAUGCCGCGUGUGUGAAGAAGGCCUUUUGGUUGUAAAGCACUUUAAGCAGGGAGGAGAGGCUAAUGGUUAAUACCCAUUAGAUUAGACGUUACCUGCAGAAUAAGCACCGGCUAACUCUGUGCCAGCAGCCGCGGUAAUACAGAGGGUGCGAGCGUUAAUCGGAAUUACUGGGCGUAAAGCGAGUGUAGGUGGCUCAUUAAGUCACAUGUGAAAUCCCCGGGCUUAACCUGGGAACUGCAUGUGAUACUGGUGGUGCUAGAAUAUGUGAGAGGGAAGUAGAAUUCCAGGUGUAGCGGUGAAAUGCGUAGAGAUCUGGAGGAAUACCGAUGGCGAAGGCAGCUUCCUGGCAUAAUAUUGACACUGAGAUUCGAAAGCGUGGGUAGCAAACAGGAUUAGAUACCCUGGUAGUCCACGCCGUAAACGAUGUCUACUAGCCGUUGGGGUCCUUGAGACUUUAGUGGCGCAGUUAACGCGAUAAGUAGACCGCCUGGGGAGUACGGCCGCAAGGUUAAAACUCAAAUGAAUUGACGGGGGCCCGCACAAGCGGUGGAGCAUGUGGUUUAAUUCGAUGCAACGCGAAGAACCUUACCUGGUCUUGACAUAGUGAGAAUCCUGCAGAGAUGCGGGAGUGCCUUCGGGAAUUCACAUACAGGUGCUGCAUGGCUGUCGUCAGCUCGUGUCGUGAGAUGUUGGGUUAAGUCCCGCAACGAGCGCAACCCUUUUCCUUAUUUGCCAGCGGGUUAAGCCGGGAACUUUAAGGAUACUGCCAGUGACAAACUGGAGGAAGGCGGGGACGACGUCAAGUCAUCAUGGCCCUUACGACCAGGGCUACACACGUGCUACAAUGGUAGGUACAGAGGGUUGCUACACAGCGAUGUGAUGCUAAUCUCAAAAAGCCUAUCGUAGUCCGGAUUGGAGUCUGCAACUCGACUCCAUGAAGUCGGAAUCGCUAGUAAUCGCAGAUCAGAAUGCUGCGGUGAAUACGUUCCCGGGCCU